Molecule: ribosomal RNA, 250 nt
Filed under: uncultured bacterium
Lineage: Bacteria
Description: partial 16S ribosomal RNA
Rfam family: Bacterial small subunit ribosomal RNA
Source: RNAcentral
AUGGCGAGUGGCGGACGGGUGAGUAACGCGUAGGAAUCUACCUUUCGGUGGGGGAUAGCCCGGAGAAAUUCGGAUUAAUACCGCAUACGCCCUACGGGGGAAACGAGGCCUCUCCUUGGAAGCUUUGGUCGAAAGAUGAGCCUGCGUUAGAUUAGCUAGUUGGCGGGGUAAUGGCCCACCAAGGCGACGAUCUAUAGCUGGUCUGAGAGGAUGAUCAGCCACACUGGGACUGAGACACGGCCCAGACUCC